GACGAACCGUGCAAACGUUGUUCGGAAUCACUGGGCUUAAAGGGCGCGUAGGCGGGCAACCAAGUCCGGGGUGAAAUCUUUCGGCUCAACCGGAAAAGUGCCUUGGAUACUGGUUGUCUUGAGGGAGGUAGGGGCAGGUGGAACUUCCGGUGGAGCGGUGAAAUGCGUUGAUAUCGGAAGGAACGCCGGUGGCGAAAGCGACCUGCUGGAUCUCUACUGACGCUGAUGCGCGAAAGCUAGGGGAGCAAAC
This 250-nucleotide ribosomal RNA is filed under the name uncultured bacterium. RNAcentral describes it as "partial 16S ribosomal RNA". It matches the Rfam family "Bacterial small subunit ribosomal RNA", at positions 524 to 773 of the family's 1533-position model. The record is from RNAcentral.